This 72-nucleotide transfer RNA is filed under the name Bos taurus (domestic cattle). It matches the Rfam family "tRNA". From Rfam's summary of the family: Transfer RNA (tRNA) molecules are approximately 80 nucleotides in length. Their secondary structure includes four short double-helical elements and three loops (D, anti-codon, and T loops). RNAcentral also lists the same sequence under 4 other names. Lineage: Eukaryota; Metazoa; Chordata; Mammalia; Artiodactyla; Bovidae. The record is from Rfam by way of RNAcentral.
UCCCUAGUGGCUCAGAAGGUAAAGAAUCUGCCUGCAAUGCAGGAGACCCAGGUUCAAUCCCUGGGUUGGGAU